This 253-nucleotide ribosomal RNA is filed under the name uncultured bacterium. RNAcentral describes it as "partial 16S ribosomal RNA". It matches the Rfam family "Bacterial small subunit ribosomal RNA", at positions 524 to 776 of the family's 1533-position model. The record is from RNAcentral.
GACGAACCGUACGAACGUUAUUCGGAAUUACUGGGCUUAAAGGGUGCGUAGGCGGCGCAGUAAGUUGGGUGUGAAAUCCCUCGGCUUAACCGAGGAAUUGCGCCCAAAACUACUGUGCUCGAGGGAGAUAGAGGUGAGCGGAACUUAGGGUGGAGCGGUGAAAUGCGUUGAUAUCCUAAGGAACACCGGUGGCGAAAGCGGCUCACUGGAUCUCUUCUGACGCUGAGCCGCGAAAGCCAGGGGAGCGAACGGG